This 5606-nucleotide long non-coding RNA is filed under the name Populus trichocarpa (black cottonwood). RNAcentral's name for it is "long non-coding RNA (PTRI_LNC001710)". The record is from RNAcentral. Lineage: Eukaryota; Viridiplantae; Streptophyta; Magnoliopsida; Malpighiales; Salicaceae.
AUUGGCCUUCUACCAGAAGCAACCUCAAGCAAGAAGGCCCCAAAAGCGAACACAUCAGUGCUUGUCGUGGCCUUUCCAGUUCGUGCAUGUUCAGGUGCGAGAUACCCAAGAGUUCCGACAACGUGGGUCGUUUGAGGAUCUGUUCCAUGGUCAUACAAUCUUGCAAGGCCAAAAUCCCCUAAUCUUCCAUUCAAUUCACCAUCUAGCAAGACAUUACUAGCCUUGACAUUUCUAUGAACCACAACUUGCUCCCAUUCUUCAUGUAGAUAAAAUAGCCCUGAAGCUACGCCGAACAAAAAAAACCAUGCUUUUUCCUUAAAAACAAAUUAAGUAAUAAGAAAAAAUUCUUCAAGAAAUACAACACAGGAUUUUCUUAGGAUGCCGAGUCAUUAUUUGCGUGGAACAUCCAUGGAUAAGAAAUAGCUGUCAAAAGGCUCUCUAAGAGUUCAAGACAAGGACUUGAUGAGCUAAAAAAUGAAGUAAAAGAUGUUUUGAAACUUCAACACUAGAAUCUAGUGAGGCAUUUAAAGAGAUGAAACGAUAUUGGUCUACGAGUUUUUACCUAACAAAAGCUUGGACUUCUAUGUUUUUUUUGUACGAGUCUCACAAAACCUUUUCAAAAAGUUGUUCCAAUUUUUCAAAUUUAGCACUAUUAAGCUUUGAUAUGAAGAGUCAGUGGAACAUCUCCUUAUUCAUUGUCAAAACCACUAGAAAAUUUGGUUUAUAUUCAUGGAAUCACUACCACAAUCUUUAGAUUUACUGACGAAAUUUUUCGUCGAUAUUUACACUAUCAUUCUGUUAGUAAUUAAUUUACCAACGAAAUCACCGACAGAAAUUCUCCAUCAGUGAAUCAUUCGUCGGUAAUUUUUUGUCCGUCGGUAAGUCCGUUGAUAAUAAAAAAUAUUAUUACCGAUAGAUUUACUGACGGAAAAAACAAGCAAAAAAAAAAUUACCCGCUUCAUUCCGUCGGCAAUUCCCUUGAAAAAAUACCGUAUGUAAUUCCGUCGGGUAAUUAUUUAAAAAUAUUAAAACAAAAUCUAUUUUACAAAACUAUAAAAUAAUUAAAUUAAUAUUAAUCAACACUCUAUAAUACUCAAAAUACUUUAAAAAAAAAGAAGAAAAUCAACUCAAACAAAUUUGCAACAAAUAAAUAACACGAAAAAAUAAAUUCAACUAAAACAAUUCAUAUGAAAAAAAUUUAAAAAUCCUAUAAAUAAAUCAACUAAAAAUUGAUCUCAUAUGAAAAAAAUCCUGCAACAACAUUCAUACAAUUAUUAAGAACGAAAACAAUUAAAAAUAAAAUAAAAAACAAAUAUAGUGAAAAAAACACGAAAAAAGAAGAAAUUUUUUUUUUACCUUUGUUGUUACCCAUUUUUGGGUUCCCACACAAAAAAUGAAAAAAAUACAAAAAAAUACAUAUAAAAACAAUAUUUGGAAAGAAUCUAAAAAAAUAAAAUGAGUGAGAAAAGGAUGCUGUAACGCCCAUCAAAUGGCUAGGAAUUGGUUGAGGAGGUUCAAAAAUACAAGAAUUGAAAUUUAACCGUAUAUGUUUAACUGGUGAAAGCCCUAUUGACAAGAAAAAUUUAAUUUGAGGAAGAAAAGUCCAAAAUCAGAUAUUUAUGGACUCAAUUAAAUUUUAUCUAAGGUUUAAUUGAAUUUAUGGAGGGUUUGAUUGCAAUAAAAAUUGAUUUUUAAGUCAAUUUAAGCUUUUAUUUGAAGAAAUUAUAGUUUUGGUGUCCAAUUAUAAUUUUGAAGAGUUGCUUUGGUCAAAUCAGGGGCUUAAUUGUAUAAUUAUUGAAGUUUGAUGGUCAAUUAGGGACUUGAUUGACACAAUCCAAAACCAUGGACCAAACCGGAAACGAUGCUAAAAUCAAGGAAUCCAAUUACAAUUUAUCCGGGGGCUUGAUUACAAAAAUAUAAAAAACAUCCAAGGACCAAAUCAAAAAUAUUCAUUUAAAUUGGAAAACGGUGCCGUUUCACUUCACACUGUGCUGUCUCCUUUAAGCAACGGUUUCUGCAGUAAAAGGCAGUAAAGACAGUAGCGGUGGAGCUGCUUCAAUCAGGGGAGCAUGUCUCACGGCUGAUAUCCCUCGCCACCAUGAUGCACGCUGGCCGUUACAAUCUUUCUGCAAUAAAUCCCGAAAAGCAUGCCUCCUCUGGCUAUAAAAGCCAGAGGAGAGACGGACAAAAAGGGGAGAGGAGGGGGAAACAUGGGAAGAAAGACGAGAAAGAGGGGAAAAGAGGAGAGGAGCACGGCGAGCAGAAGAACCCGAGGGGGGGGGGGGAAGACAGAGGAGGCAUAGCGAGCAGUACGUGAGAAAAAGAGAGCAGAACAGAGGGAGGAAAAAAGAUUUAAAAGGCACAGAAAGGAACAGAGAAGAGGGAAGACGGAAGACGAGGAAGAUAUGAAAACAGGGAGGAGCUUGUUUUAAAACAGGGGAAGAACACCCGUUGGUGGCCAUCGUCUUUUUCUCCCUAACUGCGAGCCGCUGCCAUUCUCCAUCACAAACGCACCAGCACUGCCAACGCCAUCGUCAUUUUUCCUCAGCUCACCAUCUUCUUCCCCCGCUACAACACCAUUGAAGAAAAGGCAGAAACCUGCGCCUCUGCACAGACGGGAAAAACAGCAGCAAAACACUUCCCGCCACAGCAGAGAAGAGCCACCGUCGCUCCGCCAUCAUCAUCACCGCCAGCUGCCACUGUCCUCCCAGUCGACAACGGCACCAUGAGAAGCAGAAGAAGAAAACAGAAACAGAGGAGAACAGAGCAGAGGAAAAAACACAGAGAAGAAGAAGAAGAAAGGCCGACCACCGUCCAAGCCAUUCUCCGGUCAGCAACCGCCAGCAGCAGCGCCUUCAGAGCCACCGCAGUUCAGCCCUCUUCCCCUUUCCUUUCUUCUUCUUCUUCACCCCGGUCUCCACUGUUCGGCUAAUGAACAGUGGAAAGCCACUGUUUAUGGUUGGGCCAAUUCUGGCCCAGCCCGUAUAACUGGGCCGGGCCGGGCCACGUCAAAAUAGUUGGGCCAAGUCCGGCCCAAUCCAAAAAAUCCAAAAAAAACAUUUCGGAAAAUUUGUGAUUUUUCCGAGUAUUUUUCUACUGAGUUUUGCUUAAUAUUGGUUUGUGUUUUUAUACCGUAAAGAUACAAAUCCGAUAUUAAAAUACCUGGUUUUCGUCAAAACAUUGAAAAAUAAAAAAAAAUAUUUUUUUAUGCAUACGGUCAAGUCUUUCAAAGAAAAAAAAAUCAUAUCAUAUUUUCAUACAAUAAAAAUUCAAAACUAUACAUUAACAUGUAUUUUGGUUUAAUAAUCAGUUUAUUAAAAUCAUAAGAACUAGGCCAAUAUUUUAAAAAAUUCCAAAACAAAUCAUAUUUUUUUUAAUAUUAAAGAUUACGCGCUUCUACAUAAGGCGUAGUCUCGAUAUUAAAAAGAUAGCUUAAAAAAAAAACUUUAAAAUGGUUAGGUUUUUUACCCGAUAAGAUAAGGACCUUCUUACCGAGGAGGAUUUUUCUUAAACCAUAGACAAACUAACAACUAAAAAACACGACAAGACCUUAGAUUUUAUCAGACAAUAAAACUGUCGCACCCUCGUGAGCGGAGCGCGGCGUAGCGGCAACCAUCAUUUUCUUCUCUUUUCAUGUCAUUCAAUAUGGGUUGUCUUUGAAUAGGACAUACAAUUUAUGGGGUCCAAAAUUGUCGGCAUAAUUGUUCAAUAUAUGAUUAUAAGAAGGAGGUCUUGUUUCUUAAAUCUCGGGGUCUCUUAAACUGAACUUGCUUGGAUCAACUGAAAGAAAAUGAUAAAGAAAUAGAGGAAUCUUGCAAACUUUUGUCAGUGAGUGGAAUGGGAUAUUGUUAUGAAGGAGGGAUUUUUCAUCUCUGAAGUUUCUGUAUGUAUCAGAAUGUAUUCCCACUUCCAAGUAGGAAUUUCAAGAGAACCUGAAAUUCCACAUUAAUAGCAAAAUUUUGUGUAUGAGCAUCUCAAAUCAAUAAUUCUUCACUUCCAAAUUCCAAACAAAUAAAACCACAUCCAUAGAAGAAAAAAGAACAGCAAAAAAUAAAAAAUCUUUUUAAUUUCCACCAAGUAUUGAUGCAAAUGCAAGCAACACAAGAAAGAUAGAAGAACAAAAUUAUGUCAAAUAUGGUCACACCAAGAACUUUAAUUUGAAAUUUUAUUACUAAAAAAUUUCAUCACAUAAAUACUCUGAUCAAAACUCUCUAUUAUAGCUCUUUUAAGUUGCUUAUAUACUAGUAAAAAGUCUUAAACAAAAUUGAAAAAAUAAUAAAAUACUAGUCGCCAAUGGCCAAGAACCAACUUGAAUCGGUUCUUUAACCGACAGAGUCUUGGUAGUUGGCAGAUUAAUUCAGAUAACUUGCUGUACUACUUCCAACUAUAACUAUGAAUGUCUUUUAAACAUUACCUCCUGCUUCAUGAUUUGUUACCAUGUUUGCUUUCUUAUGUGAUACAUCAACAUAAACAAAAGGGAGAGAUACCGUGUUAUGCAUUUUAUUUAAUUUGCAUCAUUGUUUUGCAGGUGAUCUUUCAUGUACAUCUCCUAAAGGCAGUUUCCUACAUAAUUUUCUUUUUUAAAAAAAAAAACCACUCAUAAGGUAAUGUAUUGCAUACAGAAACUCCUCUGAUUCACCAAAUAGAUCUUACAUGAGUUCUUGAUAAGGUCUGAUAAUUUUUGACAUAAUAAAAUUUAAAUGUUAACACAGAACAAAGAUAUUCUGAAAACUUCGUUAAUUUUAUUGAUUAUCAGAAGUCUUAUUUAAACACUUCUUAAAACAGCAAAAGCAAAUAAACAGCAGCAAUAUCUGCUGCUGUUUGCUACAUAACAGAAAAGAAGAUUAUGCAAAUCCUAACAAACUUUUAAAACUUCAAACCAGCAUGAGUUUUAUUUGACUCUAAACUCUGCCAUCUUCUACAUCAGCAGCUUCUGAGACAUUAAUUCAACAAGGUCCUUGAAGAAAAGUAAGAAUUAACGGCCACCUGAAAGGAGGGACUCUGCAACCGAGGACGAAUGUGCAAAUGCCUUGUCCAUAGAAGAAGGAUAAGAAUUGGCAAAGUCAUCAAUGGCAAAGUCAUCAAAACCUUCACGAUGUGAAAAUGUUAGGCCACUUGUAGAAAGACGAAGUGGUGAAAUGUCAGGCAGACGAACAUCCCCCUCUAAGAACUGCACUACUUGCCGCAUGCUUGGCCUUGCUGCAGGCUCAGAAUGAGAGCACAUCAAACCAAGUUUCAAUACCAAUUCCAUUUCCUCUGCAAUAUAUUCUGUACCCAAAUUGGGAUCCCUUGCCUCCAGAAUUUCACCUCCAAGCCAUCGACUAAACACCCAAUCAACCAAGAUUAUAUCCUCAGUUGGCUGUAUUGGCCUUCUACCAGAAGCAACCUCAAGCAAGAAGGCCCCAAAAGCGAACACAUCAGUGCUUGUCGUGGCCUUUCCAGUUCGUGCAUGUUCAGGUGCGAGAUACCCAAGAGUUCCGACAACGUGGGUCGUUUGAGGAUCUGUUCCAUGGUCAUACAAUCUUGCAAGGCCAAAAUCCCCUAAUCUUCCAUUCAAUUCACCAUCUAGCAAGACAUUACUAGCCUUGACAUCUCUAUGAACCACA